AGAGUUUGAUCAUGGCUCAGAUUGAACGCUGGCGGCACGCUUAACACAUGCAAGUCGAACGGCAGCGAGACCUAGCUUGCUAGGUUGUCGGCGAGUGGCGGACGGGUGAGUAAUGCGUAGGAAUCUACCCUGAAGAGUGGGAUAACCCGGGGAAACUCGGGCUAAUACUACAUACGCUCUGAGGAGGAAAGGUGGCCUCU
Molecule: ribosomal RNA, 200 nt
Filed under: uncultured bacterium
Lineage: Bacteria
Description: partial 16S ribosomal RNA
Rfam family: Bacterial small subunit ribosomal RNA
Source: RNAcentral